This 253-nucleotide ribosomal RNA is filed under the name uncultured bacterium. Its description in RNAcentral is "partial 16S ribosomal RNA". It matches the Rfam family "Bacterial small subunit ribosomal RNA", at positions 524 to 776 of the family's 1533-position model. The record is from RNAcentral.
UACGUAGGGUGCGAGCGUUGCCCGGAUUUAUUGGGCGUAAAGGGCGCGUAGGCGGCUCGACACGUUCGUUGUGAAAUCGCCCGGCUCAACUGGGCGGGGUCAGCGAAUACGGUCGAGCUUGAGCAAGCUAGGGGGCAAUGGAAUUCCCGGUGUAGUGGUGGAAUGCGUAGAUAUCGGGAGGAACACCUGUGGCGAAAGCGGCGCACUGGACCAUAACUGACGCUGAGGCGCGAAAGCUAGGGGAGCAAACAGG